RNAcentral lists this unclassified non-coding RNA (253 nucleotides) under uncultured Alphaproteobacteria bacterium. Its description in RNAcentral is "contains 16S-23S intergenic spacer region". It matches the Rfam family "Bacterial small subunit ribosomal RNA", at positions 524 to 776 of the family's 1533-position model. The record is from RNAcentral. Lineage: Bacteria; Pseudomonadati; Pseudomonadota; Alphaproteobacteria.
UACGGAGGGGGCUAGCGUUGUUCGGAAAUACUGGGCGUAAAGCGAACGUAGGCGGCUUGGCAAGUCAGGUGUGAAAUCCCGGAGCUUAACUCCGGAACUGCAUUUGAAACUGCUAGGCUAGAGUGAAGUAGAGGCUGGCGGAAUUCCUAGUGUAGAGGUGAAAUUCGUAGAUAUUAGGAAGAACACCGGUGGCGAAGGCGGCCAGCUGGGCUUUUACUGACGCUAAAGUGCGAAAGCGUGGGGAGCAAACAGG